RNAcentral lists this ribosomal RNA (995 nucleotides) under uncultured bacterium. RNAcentral describes it as "bacterial SSU rRNA". It matches the Rfam family "Bacterial small subunit ribosomal RNA", at positions 356 to 1376 of the family's 1533-position model. The record is from RNAcentral.
GGGGGAUAUUGCACAAUGGGGGAAACCCUGAUGCAGCGACGCCGCGUGGAGGAAGAAGGUUUUCGGAUUGUAAACUCCUGUCGUUAGGGACGAUAAUGACGGUACCUAACAAGAAAGCACCGGCUAACUACGUGCCAGCAGCCGCGGUAAAACGUAGGGUGCAAGCGUUGUCCGGAAUUACUGGGUGUAAAGGGAGCGCAGGCGGACCGGCAAGUUGGAAGUGAAAACUAUGGGCUCAACCCAUAAAUUGCUUUCAAAACUGCUGGCCUUGAGUAGUGCAGAGGUAGGUGGAAUUCCCGGUGUAGCGGUGGAAUGCGUAGAUAUCGGGAGGAACACCAGUGGCGAAGGCGGCCUACUGGGCACCAACUGACGCUGAGGCUCGAAAGUGUGGGUAGCAAACAGGAUUAGAUACCCUGGUAGUCCACACCGUAAACGAUGAUUACUAGGUGUUGGAGGAUUGACCCCUUCAGUGCCGCAGUUAACACAAUAAGUAAUCCACCUGGGGAGUACGACCGCAAGGUUGAAACUCAAAGGAAUUGACGGGGGCCCGCACAAGCAGUGGAGUAUGUGGUUUAAUUCGACGCAACGCGAAGAACCUUACCAAGUCUUGACAUCCUGCGACGAUGCUAGAAAUAGUAUUUUCCUUCGGGACGCAGAGACAGGUGGUGCAUGGUUGUCGUCAGCUCGUGUCGUGAGAUGUUGGGUUAAGUCCCGCAACGAGCGCAACCCUUAUGGUCAGUUACUACGCAAGAGGACUCUGGCCAGACUGCCGUUGACAAAACGGAGGAAGGUGGGGAUGACGUCAAAUCAUCAUGCCCUUUAUGACUUGGGCUACACACGUACUACAAUGGCGUUAAACAAAGAGAAGCAAGACCGCGAGGUGGAGCAAAACUCAGAAACAACGUCCCAGUUCGGACUGCAGGCUGCAACUCGCCUGCACGAAGUCGGAAUUGCUAGUAAUCGCAGAUCAGCAUGCUGCGGUGAAUACGUUCCCG